AUUUACUAAAAAAUUUUAAAAUCAACAUUUUAGUUACCAAAUUCAAUAAGUAUUAUGGUCAUAAAGGGAUCUUUGUAUCUCUUAUUAAAAAUUUAAAGAUCUCCAUAACCAUUUUCCUGAAUUUUGAGGGUGUAACUAUCUUUUUCAGUUUAAUUAAUUAUACUCUGAAACUAUAUUUGUCUUUUAAACAAAAUACAUGUAGUUGAGUUGCCUCUGACUGAACAUUAAAGUAUAAUGCACUGCCUUAGUCACUUAGCUAGAAAAAUAAUUUCCCCCUCUUUGUACCUUAUUCUUAGCCUUAGACAUGCGUAAGUGGAGCUUAUUAUUAAACUUUGAGGAACUUUUGAAAGAAAAAUAUUGAAGUUAGGUUCAUCGGCAUCUCAAUGCGCAACUUUUCAGCCAAAAUGUCGUAAGAUAUUGAAAUAUUUUAUGAUUGAAUUAAGAGAAUAUAAUUUGGCAUCAUAAACACUGAGACCCACCAAAGAUUUCAUUCCAGCACCUGAUAUAGUGGGAUGCUUAAGAUUCUUCAAAAGACAAAUGUAACAGAGAAAUAAAAUGAUUUAAAUACGCACAUAAAUAUUAUUAUUUUAUUUUAAAAUAAGUAACAAUAAAAAAUUAGAAGUCUGCUUGGAGGAUUAUAGAAGUGCUAGUCCACUGAUCCUUCUAUAUAUGUCAUUGAACUGAUCUCUUAUAUAUUAUAAUUUUUUCCUUGAAAUUUGGUAUUUGUUUUGGAGCUUAUAACGAGUUUGAAAGUCGAAAUUUGCAUUGCUGUUAAUACUAAAUUAUUCCAAUCAAUAUGUAGAUUAUGAUAGUGCCUUGUAAAGCCGUGACAUAUAGGAUAUAGCAUUGCUUGUAAACUACUCUUUCGAUGAAGGGUGUAGCACUGGUUAUUAGUGAUCACAAUGUCCAUGAAAUAAGAGAGCAAUAAUCACCCAUAUACAAAGAGUAACAGGUUGUUUUCAAACAUUAAUCAAAGAGUGGACUUAUUUACACUCUAAAUAAUAUAAAUUCUAAUUCUAAUAAAAUUUAAUAUUACUAACACAUCCCUAAAGUAAUUUACUGCAAAAUACAACUUAGUUUAAUUAAACCAAAUGCAAUUAUUCUUUACAUUUAACACACAUGUAACAUAAACCGUGGCUUAUCUUGAUAAAAUGGAAAUAUUAAAAGCAAUCAACUCAAUAAUUCAAUAAUAAAUCUAAAAGAUUUCAAAUUAGUUUUCUAUAUAAAAAAAAAAAAUUAGAAACAAAAAGUAAACACUGUGAAACAAUCACCCAUAAUAUCUAAUGACUCUAGUGGCUCCAAAGGAUUCAGCUAAGAACAAGCAAGAACAAAGAACUUUUUCCCAUCUUUUCGCCUCCUCUCUUUAGUUCUAAGAAUGCUAGUUUCAAGAAGAGUAAUUGCCAUCCUCCAAUCCUUAUUUGCCAUCUUAAGAUUGGAUAAUAAAUACGUUCCACUUAUAUUUAAGCAUGGCUUUUUUAGUAAGUUCGCAGCCUCCAGAACAUUGUUCAAUCAUCAUAUUUAUAACUUCUCUCGAUAAAUAACAUGUCAAAUAUCAUAUUUUGAUAUGCAAACUAUAUAUCCCACUGUGAAAGUGGGAAAAUAAAAAAUGACAGAACAUUGUUCAAUCAUCAUAUUUAGAUACAUUAAUCUAGUAGCACUCUGGAUUUGAUAACACAUCAAACUAUUAACAAUGCUUUCUGUUUCAUUUACAACAUUUGCCUGGCUUUCAUCAGCAGGCCCACAUCAUACUGCUGUAAAUGGCCAAGCCGAAAGCCCAUGGGAUCAUACGCACCAUAGGAGUUGGACUAUUGGCAUCUUUUCGAAACUCUCUACCAACCCCUUUUCUUUAAUCAGCCCAUUAAAAUAUUUAAAAACACUACAAUUUCUCAUAACACUUUCAUUAAUGAUUAAAAAAAUAACCUUAAUGAUGGCUAUUCCUCCUUGAACACCAUUUCAACAUUUUUUUUUCUUCAACUUUCUCAUAAUUACAAUCGAACAUAAUAAAAAAAAUUGUUCACAAAUAAUAAUGAAAAACAAUUAAAGAAAAACUUACCUUUUUUUUUUUAUCAAUCCUUCUGCUUGCAUGAUAAUUUUCUCCUCAAUUUCAAAUUCUUAAAAAAGAUAAAUGUUGCUAAGAUAGGACUUAUGACAUGCGGGUGUAAAAAAAUUUCAAGAAAAAAAUAUACAAAUAAUAUGUGGAUGGAGAGAAUUUUAGCAGAAGAAAUUAAUUCUAUCUUAUAACUGGGUUUUUGCUAAAAAAAAAGUGGGUUUCAUUAGACUUUUCUUUUUUUAAUCAUUUCAUGUACUUUUAAUGGAGGUCAAAGUAAUAAAAUACUUAAAAGAGUUUUAAGAGAUUUUUGGAGGAGUGCAAUAGUUUAACUCGCAUUAUAAAAUUCUUAAUCAGUGGAGUUUUUAACAUCCCUUUCAAAUCUUUAUAACACCUCUUUUGAAUUUUGGUUUUUAAAAUAAGCCCAGUUAUAAAAUACAAAUUUAUAUAUUAAAAUUAACUAUAUUUUCAUAAGGUUUCAUCCUAAAGAAAAUAUUUCUUUAGUUUUCAUUUAUAAAAUACAUACAAAUCCUAAAAUCUUAAUUUAUUUUUCAUUUUAUCACACAGUUUCUAUUUUCAUAACUAUAAACUCUUAUAAUUUUCUCAAAAAAU
Molecule: long non-coding RNA, 2659 nt
Filed under: Citrus x clementina
Lineage: Eukaryota; Viridiplantae; Streptophyta; Magnoliopsida; Sapindales; Rutaceae
Description: Citrus clementina (C. clementina) long non-coding RNA (CCLE_LNC001043)
Source: RNAcentral